UUGGCAGGUUGGUAACCUUUGACCCCGUCAGCUUUAGUGCUCAGCAGUGAAAUGGACUGAGGAAUUAUGGGGCUUUGAGAUGAGUCUAUAGAUCACUGACACUGUCCCUGACCAUCAGUGUGAUGCGUAUAAUGAUCAAUCCGAACGUAAACAAUGGGGCAGUAAUUAUGCUCGCUUUAGAUGAUUUCAUGUGUUCGCUGUGUUUUUACGAGAAACGCAACGUUAACAUUUUUCAAAAUGGCGGAACACGUAUAAGUUCAGGUUGCGUUUAGCGGUAGUGUAAAUCCUAAAUAUUAGCUACUUCACCAACGAAUUUACGGUAACUUUUUUCAACAGCGUAAACAAAAUUAUUUGCUAAUAUGUAACAUGAGUAAAUAAAAAUAAAAAUGACAGUUUAUUCUCUAUGAGCUCCAGUAUCUCUAAUAUACAAUAUUAUUACCUUAAUUAACAAUUAAAUUUGUAAGAGCACUAUUGCUAGGCAACUGGGAAACGUGGGCAUCAAGCGAAAGCUAAGUACUAAUUGAGUUAAAGGAUUUAGCUAGCUAGCAUAUGACUACUAAUUCUUUUAAUUACAGAAAAAUAAAAUCAUUAUGAAUAAAAACACUUCCUUCAAAUGUGUUGAUAAAUUGCUAUUACAGGAUUUAAGUACAAUAAAAUUUAUGCUUAAGUGUUUCACAUUUAGGAUUGAGCAUUAACUAAACUUUAAUGGAUAUAUUAAACUGAGCAACGUCAAUAUUGCAUCACAAUUUCUGAAGUCGUAAAUACCACGAGUGGGAUGUUCAUAGGGAAAUGUUUCCUAUACAUAGCACUUUCCUAAACGUGACCCCACUUGAACAAAGAAUUUUAUUUUCACCCAAAAUAUACCUUAUGAAUCUGGGCAACGUAAGGGUAAUGUGCUCAGUUGUAGCCACAUUUGAUACCUUUUCACAAUAGUUAUAAAAGUAAUAAUUUAGUCCACAAUUUACCUCAGGGUUUCGAUAGUCCUGCUAUAUAACAUUGCUAAUAUUAAACAACAUUUUACGUCAGGGUUUCAAUAGUCCCAAUAUACAACACUGCUAAUUUAAGCGACAUUUUACCUCAGGGUUUCAAUAGUCCUAAUAUAUACCAUUGC
Long non-coding RNA from Ictalurus punctatus (channel catfish), 1111 nucleotides. The record is from Ensembl. NCBI's taxonomy places the organism in Eukaryota, Metazoa, Chordata, Actinopteri, Siluriformes, Ictaluridae.